Gymnodraco acuticeps is the source of this 2403-nucleotide RNA transcript. RefSeq lists it as uncharacterized. The transcript is spliced from 20 exons. The record is from RefSeq and is a predicted model, not a curated record. NCBI's taxonomy places the organism in Eukaryota, Metazoa, Chordata, Actinopteri, Perciformes, Bathydraconidae.
CGAAGAAGAAAAGGAAACGUCACAUCCGGUGACGCUGAGCGUAGGAAUCGCCGAGCGCCAAAGUAAAUGUACUCAUUUGUUGAUUGAUUAAACAAACAACUAAGUUUUCCGAUGGGUACGACUGGAGAAAUUAUCAUCCUCAGUGAUGAUGACGACUGUGAAGACGUAUCACCCAAUGAACUCUCGGUUUUCAUUGUGGAGGUGGAGGAUGUGAAGAAAAGUGAGUGUGCUGUACCUCCCACCGCUCUGGAUGAAGACCUGGUCAUCACCUUCUCCCGCAGCGCUGAGGUCCUUCCUCACGCACGCUACGACUGUCCCAUACAUCCCUUCACGGCUACAGAUUGUGAGGUCUCUGUUCCUGUUCCCAAUAACCACCUCAUGUGUGAUCAGUGCUUCUGCUACAUCUGCGACAAGCUGGCCUCAUCGUGUAAGUGGUGGUGUUACAGCGGUUUGUGUCACUGCAACAGCCACAAGAAGAGUGACUUUUGGAACAACCACAGAAACUGUGCGCUGCUGGGAGGACUGAAGACUUUUAACCUCACUUUGUCUGAAGUAGACUCUCACCUCCGAAAUGCAGAGACGAUGCUGCAGAGCUUCAGACAGGAGCUCUCCACACUGUACCAUGUCUUCUUGAAGGGAAGAGUGCUGGAGGAGUGCGGUCCGAGCCAAUCACGCAAGAAUUGCCGCAUCUUUGAUUACACUCCUGUGUACGAGUAUGUGUCAUCCUUCCUGAACAAAGCAGAUCAACAGGACAGCCGAGCUGCUGCCAUCAUGAUGCUAGGAGCCACUGAGGACUUUAUUAGACAUUUUCAAGUCUCAGGGACUUUCCUUUUACAGUCUCCCACUGCUGAUGCUGCUAAAGCCAGACUACUGUUAUUGCAGCGGGUCAUAAUGGCUAUGCAGAGACAGAUGGUGAUGGCUGAUUUCCCGACAGGGUUCCAAAACAAACUGCACGAUUUUUACAAGCGGCUGUAUUUCCCCACUGAGCUGAAGAGCGUGAAAAACAGUCUGAAUGUCCGUCCUUGGGAUGAUGUCCUGCUGGUGUCUGUGCUGAAGGGGCAGAACGUGACGGGUUUCCGCAAAGACAAAGGCAAGAAGGACUUCCUAGUUGAACAGAUUUCUGUAGUUCUACUGAGAACAGAACUACUACAGCGACAGCACAGAUACAAAGAAUUGUGCCGCUACCUACGCGUUGUCGAGACGGACAAUCCCGUACUCUUCCAACAGGUGCAGGACCUCAUCCCGUUCUUCAUGUGCAUGAUGGGGGACUUGCCGUCCGCUCUGGGCAGUUUGCUCCCCACAGUGAACCCCCCCGCCUCCCGCUUCACGCCACAACUCUUCCUCUUCUAUCUUCUCGUCUUUCAAACGGCAACGGCACCAAAGCUGGUGGUCCUUCAGUCAUCAAAGCUCUCCUUUGAUACAGCGUGGGAGCCGAUUAAAGAUGCUGUGCCGCUGACUUGUGUCACUCUGGUCAGGUUUGCUCUCAGGGUUCAUAGAUGCUGCCCUGCUGUCUACGCUGAUCCUCAGUGUUGGGCCAGUUUAAUCAAUGUCGCUAACACGCCUAAAGCUCUGCAAGGACCGAGCCCAAAGUUUCUUCUCGAAGCGAUGGGUUUUGUGAGCUCAACCCUUCAGGACGAGUACGGGUCAAACAUACAGAUCCCACGAUUCUUUAUGGAGGAGUACCCAGAUCAGGCCCUGUUGCUGUUGGUAACGGGAGCUUUGUGUUUGAGAAUCCUCGAUGCUCCUCUGAAUCCGGCCUUCCCGGUGCUCAACGCGUUUAAGGAGAACGUGUGGGCUCUCAGCUGGCUGUGGGGCACUUUGUCCUCCAGCCCCGAACGCUUCAACUCCUUCCUGCUGGAGUUCUCCGAGGAGACGGAAAACUUGACAGAUGGGGAUACUUUAUUACCCCUUCUUCCUGCCGCUGCACACUCAGUCGUUUCAAGUGAGGACCAGUGAGCACCACAACCCUUUGAGCUUAUCCUCCGAUCACUGGUUCCAUUUGCGCAUAGAUCAACCAGACUCCUGAUUCCUCGCUGAUGUUUCUGUCCAACACAAACUCCCGGUGCCUGGCCCUCGGCACAGUGGUGAGGGAGGAGCCACAGGAAAAUGUGUCUGAAGUUUUAUACAGACGCUACAAUGUGUCUGACGAAGAGACUCUUAACAGAUCCUCAGUGUUAUUCAGCAUUAAUACGACUUUAAAGACACUUUAUGUUGACUACUUCGGAUCACAGUUCCGUUUGCUAAAUGGUUUUGAAUUUAAUUCUGCACUAAAGGAUUUUUUUCCUUUCAAGUGAGUGAUGCUUAUUUUCAUGACUUUGUGGAACUACUCGAAUAUAUUCACUUUUGUUACAAAUGCCCCAAAGAGGUCAUUAUGUUGGAAAAUAAAUGGAAAAUAUGACUUUU